GGGGUUGUGGCUCAGUGGCAGAGCGCUUGCCUCACAUGUGAGGCACUGGGUUAGAUCCUCAGCAACUCAU
RNAcentral lists this transfer RNA (70 nucleotides) under Marmota monax (woodchuck). It matches the Rfam family "tRNA". Rfam says of the family: Transfer RNA (tRNA) molecules are approximately 80 nucleotides in length. The record is from Rfam by way of RNAcentral. Lineage: Eukaryota; Metazoa; Chordata; Mammalia; Rodentia; Sciuridae.